Molecule: long non-coding RNA, 541 nt
Organism: Daphnia carinata
Lineage: Eukaryota; Metazoa; Arthropoda; Branchiopoda; Diplostraca; Daphniidae
Exons: 4
Source: RefSeq, a predicted model, not a curated record
UGUGUUGACUAAUUGACUAUUGCCUACAUUCCAGAACGGCAGUGGCAUCAUCUGAAGUCAACAAAUUUCUUUCGCUCACAUUUGAUCAACAAAAGGCAAUGUCACCUUAUACGUGCACAGCACUACUGGUCUACGAUAGUACCUCAAACCUCCACAUAUAAACAUUCAACAGGAACCUCCAUCCUCACCCGCUCUUCACUUCCACUUCAGUUCUCCUUCAACAGGUGUUGAUAUGGUGAAAUAUUACUUGAGUUUCAAUCUGCAAAUUUUUCAAACACACUCUAUUUGCAACUUUCACAGUGUAGUGCUACGUGAAGGAGGACUGCUGAGCAAAAAGUGUAAUACCAGACUUACAGGUGACAAGCAUACAGCAAAUAACAAUGACAGCAUUACAGUACCUCAUUGAAACGGUGACGCAAGGGCAAAAACAAAAAAAAACCUUAAAAUACUUUAAAAAAACCUGCUGCUUCUUUGGUUCCGUUACAUUUUAACAAUGUUGGUGCAAUACAGUGACAGGCUGCAGCUUGUAUUGGAAUAUGAA